GACGUAGGGCGCGAGCGUUGUCCGGAUUUAUUGGGCGUAAAGAGCUCGUAGGCGGUCCGUCACGUCGGAUGUGAAAUUCCAGGGCUCAACCCUGGACCUGCAUUCGAUACGGGCGGACUAGAGUUCGGUAGGGGAGACUGGAAUUCCUGGUGUAGCGGUGAAAUGCGCAGAUAUCAGGAGGAACACCGGUGGCGAAGGCGGGUCUCUGGGCCGAUACUGACGCUGAGGAGCGAAAGCGUGGGGAGCGAACAGG
RNAcentral lists this ribosomal RNA (253 nucleotides) under uncultured bacterium. RNAcentral describes it as "partial 16S ribosomal RNA". It matches the Rfam family "Bacterial small subunit ribosomal RNA", at positions 524 to 776 of the family's 1533-position model. The record is from RNAcentral.